UGAUGGAGGGCCUUGAGUCAGCGAGUCAGCGGGGUGCACAAAGCAGUGAGAUGCAUUUCCUCUGAACUCCCCAGGAAGUUCAAGGAUGAGAGGCUUGAUGCCCUCUUAAAGGAGUUUUCACCCUCAAUGCAGGAAUCAGAGGGACCUUUCUAGAAGAUGUAGUGGUGGGCAUUGCAGUUGUCACCCCAGGAUCCACGCCAUCCUUCCUUCACUGUGAAGCAGCCGUGGUGAUUGCAUCUCCGGAGGCAUGUGGAUCCUGGAAAAGAGGUACAAUUCUCCAGACUUGGUUUCAAUUCCAAAGCUGACGAUGAGGUCAGGAGGACAUCUGAGGCUAAAGUAAAUCAACUACACUUCAAUAAAAAUUUUUUAAAAAUAGCCCAUAACUGGAAACAACCAAAAUAUCCCUCGGUAGCUGAGUGGUUAAACACAUUGUGGUACAUCCUGUAAAAAAUUAAUAAACAGAAACCUCAAUUAAAUAGAAUCCAGAAGGGGGAGCUCUCACUCCCCAGAUGACAGCCACGCCCAAAGGGAAGAAAAAAACUCUUCGUUCCUGUCAAGGACUCAGCCAAUGAAAAGCCAUGGACUCUCCGUUUACUGUAGCCUUCCCAACCUCCUCUUCCUUCAGUAAGUAUUUGUCCCUUGCCUGGGGACUUGCACGUGGCUCACCGAGGUUGCAAACCCCAAAAUGCAAUUCUCUGCUGAUACCAAAUAAACCCAUCUU
Long non-coding RNA from Eubalaena glacialis (North Atlantic right whale), 721 nucleotides. RefSeq lists it as uncharacterized. The transcript has 3 exons. Lineage: Eukaryota; Metazoa; Chordata; Mammalia; Artiodactyla; Balaenidae. The record is from RefSeq and is a predicted model, not a curated record.